CUGGGGCUGUUAACCAGUGGCCUCACUUCCUUUCUGCUUGGCCUCUCCACAUGGCUAGAUUGGACUUCUCACAGGGAGGCAGUCUCUGGAUAUUCAAACUUCUUACAUGGUGGCUGGCUUCUUCUAAAAUACAAAAAUGAAAGCUGCCAGGCCUUUGUAAGGCUUAGAAUUGAACUGGCACCCUGUCACUUCCUCCAUGAUCUAUUGGUUAGAGAAGGUCACAGAACCAGCCCAGAUUCAAGGAGCAGGGAACAAUCCAAGGACAUGAAUAUUGCUGUAUUUCCGGGACUGGAGCAAGAAUCAGUGUUGAGAGAAAACCAACCACCAGGACUCCCAGAUAGUAUCAAGAAACUGAAACUCACCAGAUCACUGCCUCUGGACCAUGAGAUGUCAGAUCCCUCACCUGUCAUGAUUGCCUAACUGACCACCUGCUUCCUGUUGACCAUCUCCUCUUCCCUACCCUCCUUAGUUCUUGUUUUC
Molecule: long non-coding RNA, 480 nt
Organism: Gorilla gorilla gorilla (western lowland gorilla)
Lineage: Eukaryota; Metazoa; Chordata; Mammalia; Primates; Hominidae
Exons: 3
Source: RefSeq, a predicted model, not a curated record